This 314-nucleotide ribosomal RNA is filed under the name uncultured bacterium. Its description in RNAcentral is "partial 16S ribosomal RNA". It matches the Rfam family "Bacterial small subunit ribosomal RNA", at positions 499 to 807 of the family's 1533-position model. The record is from RNAcentral.
UUAUAAGAGACAGCAGUCGCCGCGGUAAUACAGAGGGUGCGAGCGUUAAUCGGAUUUACUGGGCGUAAAGCGUGCGUAGGCGGCUUCUUAAGUCGGAUGUGAAAUCCCUGAGCUUAACUUAGGAAUUGCAUUCGAUACUGUGAAGCUAGAGUAUGGGAGAGGAUGGUAGAAUUCCAGGUGUAGCGGUGAAAUGCGUAGAGAUCUGGAGGAAUACCGAUGGCGAAGGCAGCCAUCUGGCCUAAUACUGACGCUGAGGUACGAAAGCAUGGGGAGCAAACAGGAUUAGAUACCCGCGUAGUCCCUGUCUCUUAUAC